RNAcentral lists this ribosomal RNA (492 nucleotides) under uncultured bacterium. RNAcentral's name for it is "partial 16S ribosomal RNA". It matches the Rfam family "Bacterial small subunit ribosomal RNA", at positions 29 to 507 of the family's 1533-position model. The record is from RNAcentral.
AGUGAACGCUGGCGGUAGGCCUAACACAUGCAAGUCGAACGGCAGCACAGUAAGAGCUUGCUCUUACGGGUGGCGAGUGGCGGACGGGUGAGGAAUACAUCGGAAUCUACUUUUUCGUGGGGGAUAACGUAGGGAAACUUACGCUAAUACCGCAUACGACCUACGGGUGAAAGCAGGGGAUCUUCUGACCUUGCGCGAUUGAAUGAGCCGAUGUCGGAUUAGCUAGUUGGCGGGGUAAAGGCCCACCAAGGCGACGAUCCGUAGCUGGUCUGAGAGGAUGAUCAGCCACACUGGAACUGAGACACGGUCCAGACUCCUGCGGGAGGCAGCAGUGGGGAAUAUUGGACAAUGGGCGCAAGCCUGAUCCAGCCAUACCGCGUGGGUGAAGAAGGCCUUCGGGUUGUAAAGCCCUUUUGUUGGGAAAGAAAAGCAGCAGGUUAAUACCCCGCUGUUCUGACGGUACCCAAAGAAUAAGCACCGGCUAACUUCGUG